This 396-nucleotide ribosomal RNA is filed under the name uncultured bacterium. RNAcentral describes it as "partial 16S ribosomal RNA". It matches the Rfam family "Bacterial small subunit ribosomal RNA", at positions 338 to 726 of the family's 1533-position model. The record is from RNAcentral.
CCUACGGGAGGCAGCAGUAGGGAAUCUUCCACAAUGGGCGCAAGCCUGAUGGAGCAACGCCGCGUGGGUGAAGAAGGUCUUCUGAUCGUAAAACCCUGUUUGUACAGAAGAAAGUCCGUGAGAGUAACUGUUCACGUUUCUACGGUAUCUAACCAGAAAGCCACGGCUAACGACGUGCCAGCAGCCGCGGUAAUACGUAGGUGGCAAGCGUUAUCCGGAUUUAUUGGGCGUAAGGGGAACGCAGGCGGUCUUUUAAGUCAGAUGUGAAAGCCUUCGGCUUAACCGGUGUAUGGCCUCGGAUACUGGCAGGCUAGAGGGUAGAAGCGGAAAGUGGAACUCAAUGUGUAGCGGUGAAAUGCAUAGAGAUAUGACAGAACACCAGUUGCGAAAGCGGCU